GAUUGCAGAAGAGUUAAACUAGUUAAAGCAUAAAAUAGGUGAAAGUGAAAUAAGACAAACCGUCAUCGUCCCACCGUGAACAGAAAACAUUGUAAUCAAUGGAGGUGAAGACGUCUAAGUUAUAUACCUAUUGUUAUAGUUCUCAUAUUAAAGUUUGCAAACAUUUCUUUGACCCUCAUCAAUUUGGGAAGUCAUUAAGCAAUGUUAAAUAAAGUUUGCUGUUAACCUUUAGAUGUGGCGAAAAUUCUGUACUGUUAUAAUUCUUGAAACGUCAUUAAGAAACAAUUUGUCAAAGAUAAAUGUUUAAACAUCCGGAAUUAGGCUAGUCAGUCAGUCAGUCUCGUCAGUUCUGGCGGAUGAUUGUUUAUUGCUCAUAGGACUUAUUCCGUAAAACGGAAGUUUAUUUUUGUUUACAGUGCAGCAGAGUAAAUUUAAAUUCUAAAAAACGUCAUAAUUUAUAAAUGUAAUCGAAUAUUGUGCAUGAAAACAAAACAACACACGACAAAAGUGCAGUCACGAACACCAUCACGGAUUUACCUAAAAAUAGUUUGCUGCAUAUUGAAAUCGCAGCAUAAUUUUUCCAGCAAUUUGUUAUCAAUAACAAUUUAAGUGAUAUAUUAAUAAGACACUACAUUUUCUGGCACAGUUUUCGUUCUAAAUAUAAAUAAUAAUUUUAAUACCAUGGUGAUUUUCGAUGUGUCGCAUGUUUAUUUGUACGUUGUUCUAUUAAUAAGUUAAUUAGUGCUUUCUAAGCUGUUUAGUAUUAGACUGACGUUCUGCACAUUUGUUUAGAAAAUUAAUUGCCAUUGUACUUGUUUUCUGCACAUCAUAAAUUUAUUCCAGAUAAGGUGUAUUCCAGAUAAGAUAAUUAUCUUUUGGCUACUGUGCAGCAAAAACAUGUUCUUAUUAAAAUUUAAAUCUUAAAUUAUUGUUAUAAUAAACGGUGCUUGCCAAAAGAAAAAAAAUCGAUAACACUCCGCCACAACUUAUUACGUGCACGUAGUUCAUUUUUAAACCAGUCGUUGUGAACAUCGAACGUGAAAACUCCGCUAUAAAAAUGGCUGAUAGACCAGAAGAUCAACCCGACAAUGUAGACGCAGGGAAACCGAAAAGCAGGAAGAAGAGGCACCUCAUGGACGUUCCACCUCGUCAAGUUGGUGAUGACGGUCAAGAAGAGGAGGAGUUCAAAUAAUUAUAUGCACUAUUAAUUUAUUCCAAUAUUAAUCAUAUGUAAGCCUUAGUUUAUCAAAUAAACCUAGACUGCUUAUAA
Aethina tumida (small hive beetle) is the source of this 1270-nucleotide long non-coding RNA. RefSeq lists it as uncharacterized. The record is from RefSeq and is a predicted model, not a curated record. Lineage: Eukaryota; Metazoa; Arthropoda; Insecta; Coleoptera; Nitidulidae. The transcript is spliced from 2 exons.